GUCCCUUGCGGACGGAGCUGAAGCCAGUCGAAGAUACCAGCUGGCUGCAACUGUUUAUUAAAAACACAGCACUGUGCAAACACGAAAGUGGACGUAUACGGUGUGACGCCUGCCCGGUGCCGGAAGGUUAAUUGAUGGGGUCAGCAGCAAUGCGAAGCUCUUGAUCGAAGCCCCGGUAAACGGCGGCCGUAACUAUAACGGUCCUAAGGUAGCGAAAUUCCUUGUCGGGUAAGUUCCGACCUGCACGAAUGGCGUAAUGAUGGCCAGGCUGUCUCCACCCGAGACUCAGUGAAAUUGAACUCGCUGUGAAGAUGCAGUGUACCCGCGGCAAGACGGAAAGACCCCGUGAACCUUUACUAUAGCUUGACACUGAACAUUGAGCCUUGAUGUGUAGGAUAGGUGGGAGGCUUUGAAGUGUGGACGCCAGUCUGCAUGGAGCCAUCCUUGAAAUACCACCCUUUAAUGUUUGAUGUUCUAACGUAGGUCCCUAAUCGGGAUUGCGGACAGUGUCUGGUGGGUAGUUUGACUGGGGCGGUCUCCUCCCAAAGAGUAACGGAGGAGCACGAAGGUUAGCUAAUCACGGUCGGACAUCGUGAGGUUAGUGCAAAGGCAUAAGCUAGCUUGACUGUGAGAGUGACGGCUCGAGCAGGUGCGAAAGCAGGUCUUAGUGAUCCGGUGGUUCUGAAUGGAAGGGCCAUCGCUCAACGGAUAAAAGGUACUCCGGGGAUAACAGGCUGAUACCGCCCAAGAGUUCAUAUCGACGGCGGUGUUUGGCACCUCGAUGUCGGCUCAUCACAUCCUGGGGCUGAAGUAGGUCCCAAGGGUAUGGCUGUUCGCCAUUUAAAGUGGUACGCGAGCUGGGUUUAGAACGUCGUGAGACAGUUCGGUCCCUAUCUGCCGUGGGCGCUGGAGAAUUGAGGGGGGCUGCUCCUAGUACGAGAGGACCGGAGUGGACGCAUCACUGGUGUUCGGGUUGUCAUGCCAAUGGCAUUGCCCGGUAGCUAAAUGCGGAAGAGAUAAGCGCUGAAAGCAUCUAAGCGCGAAACUUGCCCCGAGAUGAAUUCUCCCUGGGUCCUUGAGACCCCUGAAGGGACGUUGAAGACUACGACGUUGAUAGGCUGGGUGUGUAAGUGUAGCGAUACAUUGAGCUAACCAGUACUAAUGACCCGUGAGGCUUAACCUU
This 1183-nucleotide ribosomal RNA is filed under the name Citrobacter sp. JGM124. RNAcentral describes it as "Bacterial large subunit ribosomal RNA". It matches the Rfam family "Bacterial large subunit ribosomal RNA", at positions 1747 to 2925 of the family's 2925-position model. The record is from Rfam by way of RNAcentral. Lineage: Bacteria; Pseudomonadati; Pseudomonadota; Gammaproteobacteria; Enterobacterales; Enterobacteriaceae.